AUUGAACGCUGGCGGCAUGCCUUACACAUGCAAGUCGAACGGCAGCACGGGGGCAACCCUGGUGGCGAGUGGCGGACGGGUGAGUAAUGCAUCGGAACGUGCCCUGAAGUGGGGGAUAACGCAGCGAAAGCUACGCUAAUACCGCAUAUUCUGUGAGCAGGAAAGCAGGGGAUCGCAAGACCUUGCGCUUUGGGAGCGGCCGAUGUCGGAUUAGCUAGUUGGUGGGGUAAAGGCCUACCAAGGCGACGAUCCGUAGCGGGUCUGAGAGGAUGAUCCGCCACACUGGGACUGAGACACGGCCCAGACUCCUACGGGAGGCAGCAGUGGGGAAUUUUGGACAAUGGGCGAAAGCCUGAUCCAGCCAUGCCGCGUGAGUGAAGAAGGCCUUCGGGUU
This 394-nucleotide ribosomal RNA is filed under the name uncultured bacterium. RNAcentral's name for it is "bacterial SSU rRNA". It matches the Rfam family "Bacterial small subunit ribosomal RNA", at positions 29 to 424 of the family's 1533-position model. The record is from RNAcentral.